AACACAAAUAAGUGGGGCUAGGGAUGUGACUCAGUGGCCACUGAGUUCAAUGCCUGGUAUCCCCCAAAAAACUUUAUAUAAAAAUUAUAGAACUUUAUUGAGAGAUUAGAAAUAAAUCAAUAUACUAUCUUCAUGGAUCAGAAGACUACAUCUUAUAAUGGUUACAUUUCUUCUCAAAUUGCCUUAGAGAUUAUUGAAGUCCCAAUGUGAAAAAAAACACCCAAGAGUUUUGUGUAUAUGUCAGUAUGUAACAUGGCAAGCUGAUUCUCAUUGAAUAUGGAAGUGCAGGGGCCAAGAUAUUCAAGAAUAAAAUGAGGUGGAAGACUUGCAAUGCAGACAUAUUCAAAGCUGCAGUGUUGGUACAAAGACAGAAUUAAUGGAGCAAUGCCUUGGACACUGUCAUGAGAAUUGAUGCUCUUCUGGAAGGGAGGAAAAGCAGAAAGACAGACUUGAAACUUUCAUUUCUUCCUUCUUUCCUCCUCCCUUCUGACUUUUUUCCUUUGAUCAAUCAGCAGAUGUUUACUGAGUUCUUACUUAUGCACUGGGCCUUGGGCUAGGCCCUGGAGAUAGAAAGGCAAACAAGAAGACUGUGUUUCUAGCGACAUGGGGGUAUUUGGAUGUAGUCAUCAUACAGAGUGAAGGACGGGUUGAUUUGAUGAGGGAAUCCCUUGUUAGAUAGCAGGGGUGGGGAGGUUCUCUGUAAGAGGACAUGAGAGUUAAACCCAGAAGGUUGAGAAUUAUUAAGCUCAGUGACUAGGGGAAAAGCAUACCAGGUAGAGGAAAUAAGUAUAAAAGGCCCAAAUCUAGGAAAAGUCUUGUUUCUAGUGAGGGAGAAGAAGAGGUCUCUCUGGCUGUUGCAAAGGAGGCAAGAGGAAGUUUCUUGGUAAGACAGGCAGGACCAGAUCAUGCAGAAAUUUUACACCAUAUUAAGGACUUCAGAUUUUAUUCUCAGAGCAAUAGGAAACCAUGAAAAGUUACUUGUAACCAAUAUACCUUACCAACCUAAGAUUUUGGUAAUAGGGGAAACCGUGUGUAUGUGUGGG
This 1043-nucleotide long non-coding RNA is filed under the name Marmota monax (woodchuck). The record is from RNAcentral. Lineage: Eukaryota; Metazoa; Chordata; Mammalia; Rodentia; Sciuridae.